UACGUAGGGCGCAAGCGUUGUCCGGAAUUAUUGGGCGUAAAGAGCUCGUAGGCGGUUUGUCGCGUCUGUCGUGAAAGCUUGGGGCUUAACCCUAAGUCUGCGGUGGAUACGGGCGGGCUGGAGUUCGGUAGGGGAGACUGGAAUUCCUGGUGUAGCGGUAAAAUGCGCAGAUAUCAGGAGGAACACCGGUGGCGAAGGCGGGUCUCUGGGCCGAUACUGACGCUGAGGAGCGAAAGCGUGGGGAGCGAACAGG
This 253-nucleotide ribosomal RNA is filed under the name uncultured bacterium. Its description in RNAcentral is "partial 16S ribosomal RNA". It matches the Rfam family "Bacterial small subunit ribosomal RNA", at positions 524 to 776 of the family's 1533-position model. The record is from RNAcentral.